Anas platyrhynchos (mallard) is the source of this 1976-nucleotide non-coding RNA. Lineage: Eukaryota; Metazoa; Chordata; Aves; Anseriformes; Anatidae. The record is from RefSeq and is a predicted model, not a curated record.
GCCUUUGUCGCAGCUCCGCAGCCCCUCGUGGCGCUACGUGGCCCUCAGGGCAGGGCACGGGGUGGUUCUGCGCUGCCCCCCCCCUGCAUAGACCCCUCGAGCCCCUCAGGCAUCGCCCUGUGCAGCUUGAACCUGGCACUGCUCCCCUACAAUCCCCUCACCGCCACCCCACAGCCUUCCCCGGUGCUCAGGGCCCUUUUGAGUGCCCCCAGCCCCGUUCCCUCACAUGACCCUAUUUCAGCCAUCAGCGCCGUGACCCCAGCCAGCUGGAGCUCUCUUCUCCACUACUGCCACCCCGCCGGCACCCAAGGGGCACCAAGGAACUGUCUCCGUCAGCAGGGGCCUGGAGCUGUGGCUGAGAGCAAAGCUGGAGCCUGCAGAGCUUGGGGAACGCUCACCAUCAGGACAGACAUUAACAGCCUUGUCCUGGCCUGGAUGAGAAGGAACACACACAAAAAAACACGCCAUGGGAUCACAGGGGGCAUGAGGCCAGAUUGCCAGUCCCCCUGCCAGACUCACCCACAGGAGGAAGAGCCAGAGAGCUUGCAGGGAACCGCACCAAGCUCCAAAGGCUGGCAGGCAGGUAUGAGCUAAAUAGCCUCUUCAUGAGUCCUGUAGGUGUUCCUAGCAGUUAUCUGGGCAGCACUGCUAGGCUGGGUUAAGAAUCCCACAUUACAUUGAAAAAUACACACUCAGGAAGACCUCAGGUAAAUCGUAAGAAGCGUAAGGCUCUCCCGUGUUUCCACAAGAAUUACAGUGUUCCUCUAGCAGGGCCAGGGCCACUCUCUUGUCCUCGUUCCCACCUCCUGACCACAGCUGCAGCUUCACCCCAGAACCUGCAUCAUACUCAGUAGCCACCUUUGUUACCAAAAGUGCCAGUUUUUGAAGUGUGAGCUCCCAAGGGACCGCAAGCAACCACAAAGUAAGAGAGGUGUCACACACCCACGGGGUGGUGCAGACCAAAUCUCAUUGUUACAGCCUUUAAAAACAGGCUCAAAACCAUUUAAAACAGGCCAAGUGAUUGAAUAGGCUCAACCGAUAGAUUGAUUUAACUGCUCCCAGGAGUCUUGUGAAGUGUGACUCACUGCUAAUGAAUGGGGGUUAAGACCACAGAGCCAAAGGAAUUAUCAGUAAGGGAUAGUGCUGAGAAGUCCAGGUCCAGAAGGAAGAGUUUCUGAACAUCCUGUUGGUUUGCGUCUAGAUUUAAAUAUUACAGCAGUGAUAGCACUGCUGCUCCUUGCAGAGUAAACAGGCUCCAGGCGUUUUAGUGCAUCCAUGAGACUUGCUCAGAACAGCCCCAAGCAGAUGUAGGUGUACUUGAGUUCCAUCACUUAUGUCUCUAAGCAACAAAAACCUACUUUUUCUAAAAGGCACACUAUUGUUAGCUGCAGUUACAGGCUUGACAUGAGGAACGCCACGUGAAACUCAUCAAUCCAUCCGCAUUGGAUGGGAAGUCAGACAAGAUGAGUGCUACGGCCUUAGAAAAAAAAUCUACUUACUGCUUAUAUUGCUAAAAAGGCAAAUAGCAAUGACUGCACAGUCAAGGUUGCUUUCAAAGGUGUUUCUAGUCGUCCAACCAAACACAAGGCUUGAUGGAAAGCACCAGAAACCAUCAAGCUGACCCUAUGCUUAAACAAUUCAAUUAAUGCUCCUUUAAAAUGUAUACGCUCAUCAGUCCCUAAGAAUGCUGCACUAUGCCAGAACUCCACCCUGGAGAAUAUCAAGGGCGGUUCUAUCAAGUUCUACUUUGACCAUCUCCUUUUUGCUAUUCUGUUAUCAGCACCUUAAGACAGCCCACCACACACACUGCCAAGGCCUAAAGAGUAGGGAUAUUGGAUCACAGAGCAACAUUCCCCCUUUGAUCUUUGCCCCUGAGUAAGACAGCGGCUCACACCAAGAAAAAUUUGACUACUAUGGAGCAAAGAAGUGAGGAAUGUGGAAAAAACAAAAGUGGAAUUGUUACUUGGCAAAAAAAA